GAACUCACUGCGUACUUUGAUUUCUUGAUGGCUGACUAUGAGUACUGAAAACUCCAACCCGGCAGCGUGUAGUGCUGUGUGCCUCUCCUUAUAGAGUUAAACUCAGCCAGGCCUGCCCGAGAGAAACCCUAAACUGGCGCCACAUUCCUGCUGGAACUCUGUCACAGUCUCAGCUCAAACUGGCCUCCAGAUGGACAAGGUGAAGAGACAGAGGUCAUACCCAUGAGGAAGAGGCUCUUGGCAGACAUGGAAUCUACUGUCACCUUAUUCUUGGAUUCUUAAGCCUCGUAAACACUGAGUGAGUCCAGCUGGACCUGUCAAUCACCUCGCCUGGAGACUACCCCUCAGGAAAACUGAUUCACCUGAAGAUGUUACAGAGAUGGGGGAAAUAAUUAUUCUCUUAAUGAGAUAACAUGUGUGUACCUCCCUGAGAAGUCCCUCCCUCAGUCCAGCUGUUUGCAGAUCUUUCCUACUAAGACAGCCUGCUUUCCCCAGUUCUAACUCCAAAACUGUAACUUCUCCUUUCCCCUUGUCUCAUCUUUGGCUAAAGGCCAAAACCUCCUCCUGCUUCCAACCUCUGUACACUCUCUUUCUUUAACCCCCUCCAAGCCCCAGUUACUUGGCGCCCUUCCUUGCAGAACCUGCCAACUCUCCUGAAACCUACCUCGGAAGGCAUGUCAUGCUCUCCUCUCCAGCUCCCCUUUCCAGGCAGCAGUUGAGGUUUGUAGCUUCCUGACCUUGUGGUUUACUCCUGAGCGCCAAUAAAAGAGUCCACAAGCUUCCAAAAAAAAAAAAAAAAAA
Molecule: long non-coding RNA, 801 nt
Filed under: Mus musculus (house mouse)
Lineage: Eukaryota; Metazoa; Chordata; Mammalia; Rodentia; Muridae
Description: predicted gene 16364, transcript variant 2 (Gm16364)
Source: RNAcentral